GAACGCUGGCGGCAUGCCUUACACAUGCAAGUCGAACGGCAGCACGGGAGCAAUCCUGGUGGCGAGUGGCGAACGGGUGAGUAAUAUAUCGGAACGUGCCCAGUCGUGGGGGAUAACGUAGCGAAAGCUACGCUAAUACCGCAUACGAUCUAUGGAUGAAAGCGGGGGAUCGCAAGACCUCGCGCGAUUGGAGCGGCCGAUAUCAGAUUAGGUAGUUGGUGAGGUAAAGGCUCACCAAGCCGACGAUCUGUAGCUGGUCUGAGAGGACGACCAGCCACACUGGGACUGAGACACGGCCCAGACUCCUACGGGAGGCAGCAGUGGGGAAUUUGGACAAUGGGCGCAAGCCUGAUCCAGCAAUGCCGCGUGCAGGAUGAAGGCCUUCGGGUUGUAAACUGCUUUGUACGGAACGAAACGGUGAGCUCUAAUACAGUUUGCUAAUGACGGUACCGUAAGAAUAAGCACCGGCUAACUACGUG
This 479-nucleotide ribosomal RNA is filed under the name uncultured bacterium. RNAcentral's name for it is "bacterial SSU rRNA". It matches the Rfam family "Bacterial small subunit ribosomal RNA", at positions 31 to 507 of the family's 1533-position model. The record is from RNAcentral.